Molecule: long non-coding RNA, 700 nt
Organism: Xenia sp. Carnegie-2017
Lineage: Eukaryota; Metazoa; Cnidaria; Anthozoa; Malacalcyonacea; Xeniidae
Exons: 2
Source: RefSeq, a predicted model, not a curated record
UCGAGAUACAUGUUGACGGGUCAUAAACAUUAUACCGACUGUAUGAAUACAAGUGAUCAAAUUGCAUUAAACCAUUCAGUCAAUGCCAAUCAUCCCAGAGACAAGAAAUUAGAACAGUUGAUUAAACUGUCUGAGAUCUCACUAUGGUACUCUCACGAUAUUUCCAAAACGUCUAUCCUUCGUUUAUUUACGGAUUCCUUAUUCUUACAAGUUUGAUCUCAGUAUAUCCAGUGACCAAUACUGGUGAUUUUUUGGAAACGCGCAAUUCGACUCAACCAAAUCAUAUAAAUAACUCAAGGAAUUCAUCUGGUUUAUGCAAUCAAAGUGCUCCCAUGAAGAGUUUUUCACUUGGCUAUGAAACAUUAAUAACAACGAUGGUGGUCUCCACAAUUGGUGUCCUAACAAAUGGUCUUCUUGUUGUUCUUAUUCUUGUAGAUCCGCUUAACAUACUAAAACAAGGAAGGAGGAUUACAAUCUUAAGCUUAUGCAUAGCUGAUUUUACUGCAUCUUUGUCACAAUUCAUGAUUGUUGGACUGGGUAGAUUGUUCGAGGUCAAACCAUCAGAAGCUGCCAUUUAUUCUGUCCUUUUCUUUUGGAUGUUUGGGGCUGCGGGCUCAUUUUUUCACUUGACAUCACUCACAUGGCAAACUUACAUGAUUGCAAAGUAUCCCAAAUACAGACAACAAAUGUUAUCUACGAA